Molecule: ribosomal RNA, 164 nt
Filed under: uncultured bacterium
Lineage: Bacteria
Description: partial 16S rRNA
Rfam family: Bacterial small subunit ribosomal RNA
Source: RNAcentral
UAGGGAAUCUUCCACAAUGGACGCAAGUCUGAUGGAGCAACGCCGCGUGAGUGAAGAAGGUUUUCGGAUCGUAAAGCUCUGUUGUUGGUGAAGAAGGAUAGAGGCAGUAACUGGUCUUUAUUUGACGGUAAUCAACCAGAAAGUCACGGCUAACUACGUGCCCG